RNAcentral lists this ribosomal RNA (1346 nucleotides) under uncultured bacterium. RNAcentral describes it as "partial 16S ribosomal RNA". It matches the Rfam family "Bacterial small subunit ribosomal RNA", at positions 28 to 1381 of the family's 1533-position model. The record is from RNAcentral.
GACGAACGCUGGCGGCGUGCUUAACACAUGCAAGUCGAACGGAAAGGCCCUGCUUUUGUUGGGUGCUCGAGUGGCGAACGGGUGAGUAACACGUGAGUAACCUGCCCUUGACUUUGGGAUAACUUCAGGAAACUGGGGCUAAUACCGGAUAGGAGCUCCUGCUGCAUGGUGGGGGUUGGAAAGUUUCGGCGGUUGGGGAUGGACUCGCGGCUUAUCAGCUUGUUGGUGGGGUAGUGGCUUACCAAGGCUUUGACGGGUAGCCGGCCUGAGAGGGUGACCGGCCACAUUGGGACUGAGAUACGGCCCAGACUCCUACGGGAGGCAGCAGUGGGGAAUAUUGCACAAUGGGCGGAAGCCUGAUGCAGCAACGCCGCGUGCGGGAUGACGGCCUUCGGGUUGUAAACUGCUUUCGCCUGUGACGAAGCGUGAGUGACGGUAAUGGGUAAAGAAGCACCGGCUAACUACGUGCCAGCAGCCGCGGUGAUACGUAGGGUGCGAGCGUUGUCCGGAUUUAUUGGGCGUAAAGGGCUCGUAGGUGGUUGAUCGCGUCGGAAGUGUAAUCUUGGGGCUUAACCCUGAGCGUGCUUUCGAUACGGGUUGACUUGAGGAAGGUAGGGGAGAAUGGAAUUCCUGGUGGAGCGGUGGAAUGUGCAGAUAUCAGGAGGAACACCAGUGGCGAAGGCGGUUCUCUGGGCCUUUCCUGACGCUGAGGAGCGAAAGCGUGGGGAGCGAACAGGCUUAGAUACCCUGGUAGUCCACGCUGUAAACGGUGGGUACUAGGUGUGGGGUCCAUUCCACGGGUUCCGUGCCGUAGCUAACGCUUUAAGUACCCCGCCUGGGGAGUACGGCCGCAAGGCUAAAACUCAAAGGAAUUGACGGGGCCCCGCACAAGCGGCGGAGCAUGCGGAUUAAUUCGAUGCAACGCGUAGAACCUUACCUGGGUUUGACAUGGAUCGGGAGUGCUCAGAGAUGGGUGUGCCUCUUUUGGGGUCGGUUCACAGGUGGUGCAUGGCUGUCGUCAGCUCGUGUCGUGAGAUGUUGGGUUAAGUCCCGCAACGAGCGCAACCCUUGUUCACUGUUGCCAGCACGUUAUGGUGGGGACUCAGUGGAGACCGCCGGGGUCAACUCGGAGGAAGGUGGGGAUGACGUCAAGUCAUCAUGCCCCUUAUGUCCAGGGCUUCACGCACGCUACAAUGGCUGGUACAGAGAGUGGCGAGCCUGUGAGGGUGAGCGAAUCUCGGAAAGCCGGUCUCAGUUCGGAUUGGGGUCUGCAACUCGACCUCAUGAAGUCGGAGUCGCUAGUAAUCGCAGAUCAGCAACGCUGCGGUGAAUACGUUCCCGGGGCU